Ictalurus punctatus (channel catfish) is the source of this 545-nucleotide long non-coding RNA. Lineage: Eukaryota; Metazoa; Chordata; Actinopteri; Siluriformes; Ictaluridae. The record is from Ensembl.
UUUCUGCAGCUCCGGUGUUGCGACAGCGUGAGUGUGUGAGUGUGUGAGUUCGUGAGCGUGUGUGUUGGGGUAGAGGAUGAGGCUGAGGAUGAGGACGCGCAGAGGAACGCUGUUAAUGUGUUAGAAAAGAUGAUGAGGAGCCCGACAUCAGCUGCUCAACACUGCACACCGCGGAGACGCUCACCUUCUACAGGUACGAGGAAGAAUCCGUGGUGAGGUGUUAUGCGCUGAGGGUUCGAACAUGCACACGGGAAAAUCGGAAGUGCGCAUCCGCUCGAAGUGCGCCGCGCUCUUGGGAAUGCUCGGUCACCAUCACGGGUUUGCCGACGUCGCCGAUCUCACGGAUCUGUGCUGGAAACAGGACGAGCGCGUGGAGCGCCUACAGGACGCCGACUUCCUCCGUGCGAAAACGGCGGCGGCCCAGGAGAAGGCGCAGCCGAUUAAAUCUCACACGGCGAGCUUCUGCAUGGCUCCAGGACAAGGACAAGUGAAGGAGAAGCACAAUGCAGUGACCCUCAGCUUUGAUGUGUGGUGGCGCGAGCGUU